CGUGUCAGCGGCCAAGAGUGAGAGUUGCUGGCCGCACUCUGAGGCCACCAAAAAUUUGUCUGUGAGAACCUCUGGACUAGAUGCUCACGAUGGGCCCUUCUGACCUUAAAGUCUGUGAGUCUAGCAGAAGCUGGACACAGAGAGGAGAAGCGCAAGGAGGUCAGUUGAUCGCUAGGACCCAGGAGCAGCGAUCGCUGGGAUCAGUCCUGGCAGCAGGAAGUGACUCGCAGCCGCUGCGGUGACUCUGGCUCCAGGCUCCUGGCGAGAUCCCCGAGCCCCGGCGGCUGGUGCUGGGAGCCCGGAGCCCGGGCUGCAGCCGGGAGAGGGGAAUCUCCAGCAGGGCCCUUCCCACUGCUCCCCAGGAGCCUCUCCCAGGGCAGAGCCCCCAGCCUGCCCAGGGCCCCUUCCCGGCCGCGGUGGGGCCCCGCUCGGAGGGAAGGCUGAGGAAUCACAUCCAUGUUUCACUCCAGAUCGUCCCGUCUUCCAGGAGACAGGGCAGGGAAAUGGCUGUGAUGGAGCCAUCUCGGAUGCCCGUGACCUUCGAGGAUGUGGCUGUGUAUUUCACCCAUGGGCAGGGGGCUCUGCUGGACCCUGCUCAGAGAGCCCUCUACAGGGACGUCAUGCAGGAGAACUACGAGAUAGUGACCUCGCUGGGUAAGGGAUUCCUGGCCCUUGGUUAUUUGAAGCUGGAGGGAUCUGCGUGUCUGACACUGGUCAAGUUCUUCUCUCAUCACUCUCCAGUGAGACCAGGGAGUCAAACCCUAAGGCACAUACUAAAUCAUCCCCACCCAACCCCGCUAGCUUGCAAGGUGGAGAAGCCGUGUAUUCUGUGUUAUUUCUUGGUCGCAAACAGAGUCCCUCUUCUCCUUGGGAACAGCUCCAGCCCUGUGGAGGGCUCUGGGUUCUGCAGGUUUAGAAAUAGGCAGGGGUUUAACACUAGAGCUGGGUGUGCAUCACAGUUCCCCUCAGCUCCCCAGAUGUCUUCCUCCCCUGAGGGGGCUCAGUGACCACGUACCCGUCCUCUUAGAUUCCACAUUCCCCAGCACAGCACAGGGACAGGUUCCGCUCACAGAAUGUCCUUUCUGAGAGAUGCUUUCAGUCCUCCGCACACCCUGAUUUGGUCCGAUUUCACUCCCUGCACAAACAACAAGGAGUCUGGUGGCACCUUUAAAGACUAACAGAUUUAAUGGGCAUUACAUUCAUUACAGAAGCAGCUUUUCCUCUCCUGGAAUUGACACCUCCUCAUCUAUUAUUGGGAGAGGACUACAUCCACC
RNAcentral lists this long non-coding RNA (1274 nucleotides) under Chrysemys picta bellii (western painted turtle). RNAcentral describes it as "lncRNA (ENSCPBG00000005510.1)". Lineage: Eukaryota; Metazoa; Chordata; Testudines; Emydidae. The record is from RNAcentral.